GACGAACGCUGGCGGCGUGCUUAACACAUGCAAGUCGAACGGUAAGGCCCUUCGGGGUACACGAGUGGCGAACGGGUGAGUAACACGUGGGUGAUCUGCCCUGCACUUCGGGAUAAGCCUGGGAAACUGGGUCUAAUACCGGAUAGGACCACUGCCUGCAUGGGGGGUGGUGGAAAGCUUUUGCGGUGUGGGAUGGGCCCGCGGCCUAUCAGCUUGGUGGUGGGGUGAUGGCAUACCAAGGCGACGACGGGUAGCCGGCCUGAGAGGGUGCCCGGCCACACUGGGACUGAGAUACGGCCCAGACUCCUACGGGAGGCAGCAGUGGGGAAUAUUGCACAAUGGGCGCAAGCCUGAUGCAGCGACGCCGCGUGAGGGAUGACGGCCUUCGGGUUGUAAACCUAUUUCAGCACCGACGAAGCGCAAGUGACGGUAGGUGCAGAAGAAGGACCGGCCAACUACGUGCCAGCCGCCGCCGUAA
RNAcentral lists this ribosomal RNA (478 nucleotides) under uncultured bacterium. RNAcentral's name for it is "partial 16S ribosomal RNA". It matches the Rfam family "Bacterial small subunit ribosomal RNA", at positions 28 to 523 of the family's 1533-position model. The record is from RNAcentral.